RNAcentral lists this unclassified non-coding RNA (3252 nucleotides) under Hevea brasiliensis (rubber tree). The record is from RNAcentral. Lineage: Eukaryota; Viridiplantae; Streptophyta; Magnoliopsida; Malpighiales; Euphorbiaceae.
GGAAUUCGCAUUUUUCUAAUAUCAUUUAUCAAAUCUUUGAAAUUUGCAGAGAAUAGCUAGAGGAAAUUGAAUCCUACACUCUACACAAGAAGCAGUUAAUUUAAUAGGUUUUCUAAAAAAAAAAAAAUCUUUCCAAUAAAACUCACUUUCAGUUGUCCAUUUCUUGAAAGGGGCAUUAUUUUUAGAGCACUAAUUUGUUAAAAAAUAUCCCUAACUAUACAAAUACCAAACCACAUAAUAUACAUUUUUUGUUCUUUACCCUAAACAAAAAUAUCGUUGCGUUAAAAAUCAAUCCAACCCAAAGCUUACACAUCACCGAGGGACGCAUGGUUAGCUCCUAGCCAGGAAAAGGUAAGUGAUAGCAAAUGCAGAGAACAACCAGCUGUUAGUUGCAUAACGUUUCCGCGGCGCCAUGGUAAAAUUUUUAAAAUUUUCAAUCAUCAUUUAGUCAUGUUACCCAUAUAUGAAAGCAAGGCCCAUCAAAAGAUAGGCUACAGUGACCCACACAGCUUGGCUUUUGGCUUUCUUCAGAUAUUUCCUAUUCUUUGCAGGUUGUUUUCAAAGAAAGAGAAAUAUCAAAAUGUCUUCAAACUUUAGGAAUUUAUUAAAUUUGUUCCCUCUUACGCAUGAAGCAUCAAAUAUUAGUAGAGCCUUUUGCGCUCUGUGGAUGUGUGUAUUUCUCCAUCAAACAUGUUAGUUCAGCAUCAAACUCUUUCUCUAACUCAAACUCUUCUUCCCAAUGCCUCCUCUUCAUUGCAGCAAACUUCUCCUCAUGUGCUUUGAUAAGCCUAUCUCUCUCUGCUACAUAGUCUUUCAUCUCUUUGUCUUGAAAUUGUAUAAAUUUCUCCAUUUCUUCCACCCUUCAGACACAAAAUGGAACAUACUAUAAAAGACACGUCAAUAGCCACCCCAAGAUUUGCCAUAAAACCACCUAUUUUCUACACUACUCCAAUUCAGUUCAAACAAUUACAUACCUGCGCCUAUAUUCCUCAGUAUUAGAAGGAUUUGCACUUAGCUGCUUUGCUUUCUCCCUUUCCUUCUGUUGUAGAUGCUCAAAAUCCUCUUCCUUUGCAUCCCUUGCUUCAUGGAUAACUUUGAGUUGAUCCUUGAAAAAUUGCUCUUGGAAAUCCAACUUCAUCAAUCAUUGAAGUUAGUUGAAAGAAGUUUAGACAGAGUUGUCAGCAUGCCAUUAAAAAUACCCAGAUGUGAGUCAAAUUCAAAGCAAACUUUAAACUAAGCAUCACCAAUAUACUCAUUCUUCAAAUAAAAUCAAACCUGUCACUCAAUUUUUCCCUUGAAGAUUCACUAAGACCUCAAACACAGCAUGAUAAAACUCAAGGCAAUGCGAAUAUCAGAGUAGAGCACGCUUUAAUUGACAUCAAGAUGCUAAUAAAGAAGUUAUUCCAGUUAUCAUAAUAAAUGAGCAGAAGCCAAUAAAUAUGUGAGAUGUCCAAGAUAACCCUUCCAUUACUUAUCAUAAAGUUCAAAAUUUAUAUGCCAGCACAUGCACUCAAAGAUAGUUCUACUGAAAAGAAACUAAGUGCUUCUUUUAAGGGUUCCCCCCACCUCCAUUCUUAUUUUCCUUUUCAGGAACAAACAUUUGCAUCAAAGGCUUUCCCAACAGGCAACAUGCAUACAACACUCUCUACUAAAAGUCAACUCAAAUGAGAUUUACUUAUAUGCAGUAAGCAGUAUUACCUCUUCCUGGCUCUGUUCAUGGUGCAUCUGGGUUCUCUGCCUUACAAUGCGGUUUUCCUCCGUAGUCUUGCGCAGCUUGUCAGACACUAUUUCAAGAGAUUCCUCAAGAGUCUUGGUCUUCCUUUGUUCUUUAGCAACCCGGCUCUUCAACCAAAUAAGUUGCUGGUUAUCCUCACUCAUUUGAUUGAUUUGGCGCACUACCAUUUCUUGGUACGACCUCAUCUCAUAUUUCAGCUUUGACCUCCCUUGUGAAUGCUGAUUGAAGAUGUCCAAGUCUUCCUUGACUGCCAUGUAACCAUAGAGUUGGCGCUUACCACCAGAAUGGAACAAGACUGGACCAUGAUCCCAAGCAUUUCUAUCAGUUCCCUGUUCAGCAAAAUGUUUGUGCAGACGUUCAGCUUCCAAAUAACCUCUUGCAGAGCUCUCAAAAAUCAGAAUGCUCAUCCCACGAUGUCCCUGUGGACCAUAUGAGUGCCUAGCCUUUACAGCAGCAUACCCAUUGAAAUAAUCAAUAAGCUCUUGAUUGCCCAUUCCCUUCCACUUGUCAUUCUCAUCCAGUUCAAGCCUUGUAUUCAUAAUGAUAACCAUAGGAGGCCAAACUAUUUCAUGGUCUUUUUCCUCAUCUUUUAAACCUUUCCAUUUUCCAAAUACUUCACCAGCUGGAAUAACUGAAGUUCCCCUUCUGCGCAACUCCUCGUCCAAAAGUUCUGCUAGCUCUCUAUGAAGCAUCACCCUUUUUGAUCCCUUUGUUUUGGCAUGUGUGAUCAGGGGCUGCAGGCCUCUGUACCAGUCAAUGGCACCAGGACCACCUUGGCAUGCUGGACAGUGCCACUGUCUUGCGGGUUCAUUGAUCUCCUCAACAGUCAAAUUGUCUAAACUCUCAAAAAAUUUCUUGAACCAUCUACUAUUCUUGCGAGUAUCAUGACUCUUUUGGCUAGCAUCUGAAUCGAAGUCUUCACUAAGAAGCUCAUCAUCUGUAUCAUCCAUGGCAUCUUCUUCCUCAUCAUCUUCACAAUCAACAUCACUUUCCUUGUUAACUUCAGUAUCUUCAUAUUUUUUUUCACCAUCUUCUGAAAUAUUAGGAGCAGUAGCAGCAACUCUAGAUUGCCAAUUCCAUCCAUGCUCCAGUGGUGGGGGAAUCACAGAUUGUGGAGCCACGUAGUUGUUCUCUGAGCCCCUGUUGGAUGAUUGUGGCCCGGUAUUUCCUCUGUUAGUUAGCCUCUUAGAAUCCAAAACUUGAGUUGACCAUGCAUUUGCAGACAUCCUUCCUGAUCCAAAAUUAUUUCGCAUGCCUUGCUUAUUUAUCACAUCGGGGUGUCCCCAUGCUUUGGGAUUAGAAUUUUGAAAACCCCAGGGUUUUGCAGCACUGCUUCCAGCUCUGUUCUUAGACUUCCGUGAUAUUAUCUCCCAUUCCCCAUCAUCUUGUGCAUCAUCCAAACUAAUGUCUACUACACCUUGACCCAACUGCUCAACCUUAGGGCUAGAGACUUCUGUUGCAUUUUUCCCUCUGGAUGAUGCAUUAUUACUACGACCAGCAGUUGAAGCCCUUCCACC